Molecule: ribosomal RNA, 243 nt
Filed under: uncultured bacterium
Lineage: Bacteria
Description: partial 16S ribosomal RNA
Rfam family: Bacterial small subunit ribosomal RNA
Source: RNAcentral
UACGUAGGGGGCAAGCGUUGUCCGGAUUUAUUGGGCGUAAAGAGCGUGUAGGCGGUUUGGUAGGUCCGUUGUGAAAACUCGAGGCUCAACCUCGAGACGCCGAUGGAAACCAUCAGACUAGAGUCCGGAAGAGGAGAGUGGAAUUCCUGGUGUAGCGGUGAAAUGCGCAGAUAUCAGGAAGAACACCCGUGGCUAAGGCGGCUCUCUAGUACGGUACUGACGCUGAGACGCGAAAGCGUGGGG